CAAAAACUUCAGCAAAGAAAUACCUGCAAAAGAAAACAAAGUCAAACAGAUGGCUGUCUAAGUGCAAAACCCAUAGGUUCAAAUUACUUCAUGUCUUCAUUCUACAAAUAACAAUGAUAUAUUUGAGCUCACCAUAGAACAGCUAUAUCUGGUGACAUAUCUUCCACAAUAAGAAUGAAACCAUACGUUCUUUGAAACAUCUCCCACAGGCUACUAUACUGCUUGACAGAUAUUCCACAUAGAAACAACAAAUAGAGUGACCACAGAGUUGUCCAGAAAAA
Molecule: unclassified non-coding RNA, 281 nt
Filed under: Hevea brasiliensis (rubber tree)
Lineage: Eukaryota; Viridiplantae; Streptophyta; Magnoliopsida; Malpighiales; Euphorbiaceae
Source: RNAcentral